GGGCCUUAAGCUCAUACGGUAUGAGCACCCGACUCAUAAUCGGAAGGUACAUGGGUUCGAACCCCUGAAGGCCCACCA
This 78-nucleotide transfer RNA is filed under the name Novimethylophilus kurashikiensis. RNAcentral describes it as "tRNA-Met". It matches the Rfam family "tRNA". Rfam says of the family: Transfer RNA (tRNA) molecules are approximately 80 nucleotides in length. Their secondary structure includes four short double-helical elements and three loops (D, anti-codon, and T loops). Further hydrogen bonds mediate the characteristic L-shaped molecular structure. tRNAs have two regions of fundamental functional importance: the anti-codon, which is responsible for specific mRNA codon recognition, and the 3' end, to which the tRNAs corresponding amino acid is attached (by aminoacyl-tRNA synthetases). tRNAs cope with the degeneracy of the genetic code in two manners: having more than one tRNA (with a specific anti-codon) for a particular amino acid; and 'wobble' base-pairing, i.e. permitting non-standard base-pairing at the 3rd anti-codon position. Lineage: Bacteria; Pseudomonadati; Pseudomonadota; Betaproteobacteria; Nitrosomonadales; Methylophilaceae. The record is from RNAcentral.